UACGUAGGGCGCAAGCGUUAUCCGGAAUUAUUGAGCGUAAAGAGCUCGUAGGCGGUUUGUCGCGUCUGCCGUGAAAGUCCGGGGCUCAACUCCGGAUCUGCGGUGGGUACGGGCAGACUAGAGUGAUGUAGGGGAGACUGGAAUUCCUGGUGUAGCGGUGAAAUGCGCAGAUAUCAGGAGGAACACCGGUGGCGAAGGCGGUGGUCUGGGCCGGAACUGACGCUGAGGAGCGAAAGCGUGGGGAGCGAACAGG
This 253-nucleotide ribosomal RNA is filed under the name uncultured bacterium. RNAcentral describes it as "partial 16S ribosomal RNA". It matches the Rfam family "Bacterial small subunit ribosomal RNA", at positions 524 to 776 of the family's 1533-position model. The record is from RNAcentral.